GGCUUUGUAGCUCAGCUGGUACAGCGCUCGCCGCGUUGAGGCGUGCUGUUCAUGUCGCUGGUUCGAAUCCAGUCAAAGUUC
This 81-nucleotide transfer RNA is filed under the name Paragonimus skrjabini miyazakii. RNAcentral's name for it is "Paragonimus miyazakii tRNA". It matches the Rfam family "tRNA". Rfam says of the family: Transfer RNA (tRNA) molecules are approximately 80 nucleotides in length. Their secondary structure includes four short double-helical elements and three loops (D, anti-codon, and T loops). Further hydrogen bonds mediate the characteristic L-shaped molecular structure. tRNAs have two regions of fundamental functional importance: the anti-codon, which is responsible for specific mRNA codon recognition, and the 3' end, to which the tRNAs corresponding amino acid is attached (by aminoacyl-tRNA synthetases). tRNAs cope with the degeneracy of the genetic code in two manners: having more than one tRNA (with a specific anti-codon) for a particular amino acid; and 'wobble' base-pairing, i.e. permitting non-standard base-pairing at the 3rd anti-codon position. The record is from Rfam by way of RNAcentral. Lineage: Eukaryota; Metazoa; Platyhelminthes; Trematoda; Plagiorchiida; Troglotrematidae.